RNAcentral lists this ribosomal RNA (468 nucleotides) under uncultured bacterium. RNAcentral's name for it is "partial 16S ribosomal RNA". It matches the Rfam family "Bacterial small subunit ribosomal RNA", at positions 28 to 507 of the family's 1533-position model. The record is from RNAcentral.
GACGAACGCUGGCGGCGUGCUUAACACAUGCAAGUCGAACGGAAAGGCCCUGCUUUUGUGGGGUGCUCGAGUGGCGAACGGGUGAGUAACAUGGGAGUAUCCUGCCUUUGACUUUGGGAUAACUUCAGGAAACUGGGGCUAAUACCGGAUAGGAGCUCCUGCUGCAUGGUGGGGGUUGGACAGUUUCGGCGGUUGGGGAUGGACUGGCGGUUUAUCAGCUUGUUGGUGGGGUAGUGGCUUACCAAGGCUUUGAUGGGUAGCCGGCCUGAGAGGGUGACCAGCCACAAUAGGCCUGAGAUACGGCCCAGACUGCAACAGGAGACAGCAGUGGGGAGUAUUACACAGUGGUCGGGAGCCUGAUACAGCGGCGCCGCGUGCGGGAUGACGGCCUUCGUGUGAUAAACCGCUUUCACCUGUGACGAAGCGUGAUUGACGGUAAUAGGUAAAGAAGCACCGGCUAACUACGUG